Misgurnus anguillicaudatus (oriental weatherfish) is the source of this 768-nucleotide non-coding RNA. The record is from RefSeq and is a predicted model, not a curated record. Lineage: Eukaryota; Metazoa; Chordata; Actinopteri; Cypriniformes; Cobitidae.
UCUAAAAACCGUUGGGUUAUUUGUUUUACCCAACAGGUGGGUUAAACAUAUUGGGUUGUUGUGUUGGGUUAUUCGUAGCUUUUAUUGGGUUAUUUCUAUAACAACCCAGACCGAUGGGUUAAAAUCGGGCUCACGUCACGCAUUUUGAAUUUCAAUGGUCGACAGGUGCCACUGCUGAGUGCGGACAGACACGAGAGACAUUCUUGGAGAUGUUGCAUUAAAAACCCUACAAAAUGGCCAGCAAGAUGGUUCAGCCUUCCUACAGUACCAAGAGCCAAAGCAAACAUUUAUUAAUUUUCAACCUGUCAGAAAACAAACAUAAUUCAGUAUUUGGAGGAGGAGGUAUGACGAAGACCCCAUGUCCAGCUAUGGGAUGAAUUCGACUUAUCACAAGUAUUUGUUAUUGUGGGGAGGCAUGGCCCAGGAGGAAGACCAGCAGUUGACACAUGCUUUAAUAUUUCCAAGCCUUUCACUACUGUUAGGUAGUUUCUGUAACACACAAUACAUUUUGUACCAGGUAAUGUUUCCUUAACACACUGUCACCAGCUUAAGGGAUAGUUCCCCCCAAAAUAAAAAUUAUGUCAUAAUUUUCUUCCUCUCCUGUUGUUACAAACCUGUAUACAUUUCUUUGCUCUGAUGACCACAAAGGAAUGUUUGAAACCAAGCAGAUCAUGAGCCCCAUUGACUGUCAUAGUAGGAAAAAAGAAUACUAUAAAAGUGAAUGGGGCUCAUGAUCAGUUUGAUUUCAAACAUUCUUUGAAAUAUCUU